CUGCACGAUUGUGACGAUAUGAAACUCAGCCCAGAUGAACUUGCACUAAAAUGCCGGUCAGAGAUAGAGAAGUUACAUUCCAUUAUCAGAGAAUAUCUGCGGUUGAAGAAGAGUCCAGGGGGCAAGCAACAUCAAAAACUUGGUUUCAACAAAGAGCUGGGUGAAUUAGUUCAUCAAGUUCUGCACGCAGAUUUUUACACUCUGCAGUGAGGGAAUCCAUUGCUUCCCCAGUGAUAUCCGUCUGUGUGGCAGUAGUCACCAUGCCUUCUUUUCAAAUCUCAGCGUGCACCACAUCUUCACCAGCAGGUUCCUGGGGGUGCUCAUCAGUGAGGAUCUCUCCUGGUCCACCAACCGCAUCACUGGCGAAGAAGGCCCAGCGCCACCUGUACUUCCUGCGGAAACUCAGGCGAGCGAGCGCUCCUCCGGCCGUCAUGACUACAUUUUACCGUGGCACCAUUGAGAGCGUCCUCUCCAGCUGUAUUGCUGUUUGGGGUGGCGGCUGCACUGACUACAACUUGAAGGCCCUGCAGCGCAUAGUGAACACGGAUGGUAAGAUUAUUGGUGCUUCACUCCCCUCCUUGAAAGACAUUUACAUCUCUCAUCUCACCCGCAAGGCGACCACGGUUGUGAGUAAUGUGAGUCACCCCGCUCACUCUUUGUUUGAGCUUCUGCCCUCUGGGAAGAGGUAUAGGAGCCUGCGCUCCCGCACCACCAGAGUCAACAACAGCCGCAUACUCCAGGCUGUUAGGAUCCUGAACUCUCUCCCCCCUUCUGCGUACCGUCCUGUACUUUCUUUUCGAAUCUCAGCGUGCACCACAUCUUCAGUUGAUCAUUUUCACAAGGGACAGACUGGGAAAUAUUGAAAAGUGCUACUGCUGCUGCCAAUGCCCUCUCGUGGUCUCUCUUG
Molecule: long non-coding RNA, 907 nt
Organism: Syngnathus typhle (broad-nosed pipefish)
Lineage: Eukaryota; Metazoa; Chordata; Actinopteri; Syngnathiformes; Syngnathidae
Exons: 3
Source: RefSeq, a predicted model, not a curated record